RNAcentral lists this transfer RNA (96 nucleotides) under Lophiostoma macrostomum CBS 122681. Its description in RNAcentral is "tRNA-Pro". The record is from RNAcentral. Lineage: Eukaryota; Fungi; Ascomycota; Dothideomycetes; Pleosporales; Lophiostomataceae.
GGCUCCGUGGUCUAGUUGUUAUGAUUCCUGCUUUGGGUCACAUCACAGCAUGUGCUUGAUAGCAGGAGGUCCCGCGUUCAAAUCGCGGCGGAGCUC